This 118-nucleotide small nucleolar RNA is filed under the name Castor canadensis (American beaver). RNAcentral describes it as "Small nucleolar RNA SNORA25 (ENSCCNG00000003131.1)". The record is from RNAcentral. Lineage: Eukaryota; Metazoa; Chordata; Mammalia; Rodentia; Castoridae.
AGGUCAUUUCAAGAAGGGAUUGUAGAGCUGGGAAACCAAGAGCUCUUAAGGCUAUGACCAAAGAUUGAAGAUACCACAGUACCUCAAUAGUGCUAUGUUUUCCUCUGGAGAUAUAAGA